UACAGAGGGUGCGAGCGUUAAUCGGAAUUACUGGGCGUAAAGCGUGCGUAGACGGCUAUCUAAGUCGGGUGUGAAAGCCCUGGGCUCAACCUGGGAAUUGCAGUGGAUACUGGCAAGCUAGAGUGCGGUAGAGGAUGGUGGAAUUCCCGGUGUAGCGGUGAAAUGCGUAGAGAUCGGGAGGAACACCCGUGGCGAAGGCGGCCAUCUGGACCAGCACUGACGCUGAGGCACGAAAGCGUGGGGAGCAAACAGG
Molecule: ribosomal RNA, 253 nt
Filed under: uncultured bacterium
Lineage: Bacteria
Description: partial 16S ribosomal RNA
Rfam family: Bacterial small subunit ribosomal RNA
Source: RNAcentral